This 267-nucleotide small nuclear RNA is filed under the name Octodon degus (degu). RNAcentral's name for it is "7SK RNA (ENSODEG00000023907.1)". It matches the Rfam family "7SK RNA", at positions 8 to 289 of the family's 331-position model. From Rfam's summary of the family: 7SK was discovered as an abundant small nuclear RNA in the mid-70s but a possible function has only recently been suggested. Two independent studies have found that 7SK RNA binds the CDK9/cyclin T complex (known as elongation factor P-TEFb). Lineage: Eukaryota; Metazoa; Chordata; Mammalia; Rodentia; Octodontidae. The record is from RNAcentral.
UGAGCCAUCUCCCCGGCCUAUGUCACCCUAUUGAUCACCAGGUUUGAUUUUGCUAAUCUGGCUGGUUAGUUGGGUGUCCUGUCCUCCCUCAAUGCUCCACGUGUUUCCCCCCCAAAAGCUACAUUCUCAGUUGAAGAGGACAAUCACCCCCAAUAAAGGAGGACCAUUCCUCAAUCAAGGGGAUACAAAUAGCUGCGCUCCCCUUCUAGAACCUCCAAACAAGCUCUCAAGGAACUCAAGAGAAGCUUAUGCUGCAUGUUUCCAGNN